GGCAGUGUAGCAAAGUGGUAAGGAGCAGGGCUUGUAACCAAAAGGUUGCAGGUUCGAUUCCCCGCUGGAA
Molecule: transfer RNA, 70 nt
Filed under: Megalops atlanticus (tarpon)
Lineage: Eukaryota; Metazoa; Chordata; Actinopteri; Elopiformes; Megalopidae
Description: tRNA-OTHER
Source: RNAcentral